UGAGGAAUAUUGCGCAAUGGGCGAAAGCCUGACGCAGCGACGCCGCGUGGGGGAUGAAGGUCUUCGGAUUGUAAACCCCUUUCGGGAGGGAAGACGGCCUUAGACAACUAAGGCGGACGGUACCUCCAGAAGCAGCCACGGCUAACUUCGUGCCAGCAGCCGCGGUAAUACGAAGGUGGCAAGCGUUGUUCGGAUUUACUGGGCGUAAAGGGAGCGUAGGUGGUUAGGUAAGCCCUCCGGGAAAUCUUCAGGCUUAACCUGAAAAGGUCGGGGGGACUGCCUAGCUAGAGGGCGGGAGAGGAGCGCGGAAAUUCCCGGUGUAGCGGUGAAAUGCGUAGAGAUCGGGAGGAAGGCCGGUGGCGAAGGCGGCGCUCUGGAACGUUUCUGAUACUGAGGCUCGAAAGCGUGGGGAGCAAACA
This 419-nucleotide ribosomal RNA is filed under the name uncultured Nitrospira sp. RNAcentral describes it as "bacterial SSU rRNA". It matches the Rfam family "Bacterial small subunit ribosomal RNA", at positions 355 to 774 of the family's 1533-position model. The record is from RNAcentral. Lineage: Bacteria; Pseudomonadati; Nitrospirota; Nitrospiria; Nitrospirales; Nitrospiraceae.